ACGAACGCUGGCGGCGUGCUUAACACAUGCAAGUCGAACGGAAAGGCCCUGCUUUUGUGGGGUGCUCGCGUGGCGAACGGGUGAGUAACACGUGAGUAACCUGCCCUUGACUUUGGGAUAACUUCAGGAAACUGGGGCUAAUACCGGAUAGGAGCUCCUGCUGCAUGGUGGGGGUUGGAAAGUUUCGGCGGUUGGGGAUGGACUCGCGGCUUAUCAGCUUGUUGGUGGGGUAGUGGCUUACCAAGGCUUUGACGGGUAGCCGGCCUGAGAGGGUGACCGGCCACAUUGGGACUGAGAUACGGCCCAGACUCCUACGGGAGGCAGCAGUGGGGAAUAUUGCACAAUGGGCGGAAGCCUGAUGCAGCAACGCCGCGUGCGGGAUGACGGCCCUCGGGUUGUAAACCGCUUUCGCCUGUGACGAAGCGUGAGUGACGGUAAUGGGUAAAGAAGCACCGGCUAACUACGUG
This 467-nucleotide ribosomal RNA is filed under the name uncultured bacterium. RNAcentral describes it as "partial 16S ribosomal RNA". It matches the Rfam family "Bacterial small subunit ribosomal RNA", at positions 29 to 507 of the family's 1533-position model. The record is from RNAcentral.